GAUGAACGCUGGCGGCGUGCCUAAUACAUGCAAGUCGAGCGAACGGACGAGAAGCUUGCUUCUCUGAUGCUAGCGGCGGACUGAUUAGUAACACGUUGAUCUCCUACCUAUACUACUGUGAUAACUUCGGGAAACCGGUGCUAAUACCGGAUGAUAUUUUUCACCGUAUGGUUCAAAAUUGAAAGACUGUCUUCCUGUCACUUAUAUAUGUCUCCUCGCUGCAUUAGCUAGUUGGUAAGGUACCGGCGUACCAAGGCAACGAUGCAUAGCUGACCUGAUAGGGUGAUAGGCCACACAGGAACAGAGACACGGUCAAGACUCCUACGGUAGGAAGCAGGAGAGAAUCAACCGCAAUGGGCGAAUGCCUGAAGGAGCAAAGCCGCGUGAGUGAUGAAGGUCUGAGGAUCGUAAAACUCUGUUAUUAGGGAGGAACAGAUGUAUAAGUAACUGUGUACAUCAUGACGGUACCUAAACAGAAAGCCACGGCUAACUACGUG
RNAcentral lists this ribosomal RNA (497 nucleotides) under uncultured bacterium. RNAcentral's name for it is "partial 16S ribosomal RNA". It matches the Rfam family "Bacterial small subunit ribosomal RNA", at positions 28 to 507 of the family's 1533-position model. The record is from RNAcentral.